RNA transcript from Lynx canadensis (Canada lynx), 1760 nucleotides. RefSeq lists it as uncharacterized. The record is from RefSeq and is a predicted model, not a curated record. NCBI's taxonomy places the organism in Eukaryota, Metazoa, Chordata, Mammalia, Carnivora, Felidae. The transcript has 4 exons.
GCAGGGAAGGAGCCAGCUGGGAAAUUAAUAGCCUGACCCCAGCCUCCUCCCUCCAAACUUCCGGUGUCCUGCCCAUUCUCUGCCCAAUGGAAGCUGGAAGCCAGAGGGCCAGCAUCCCAGGGCACAGCACAGGGUGAAGGUGAGAGUGAGUGGAUCUGGAGGAGCAGAUGAGAGGACCUAGGUGCUGAAGGGGUCACGUUUUGUUUAUUUUUGAGAGAGUGCACGCGUGAGCGUGGGAGGGACAGAGAGGUGGAGAUCUGAAGCGGACUCUAGGCCGACAGCAGUGGGCCCGAUGCAGGGCUCGAACCCACGAACCAGACCGCGAGAUCAUGACCCGAGCCUGAGUCCAACACUCCACAGACUGAGCCGCCCAGGUGCCUCAGGGGUGGCUAUUUUAGAAAAGGUGAGGGAGGAAAGCUGUCUCUGAGCAGGGCCCUGAAUGCAUCCAUGAGGCCAGCCACCCAGGGAAAAGCAUUCCAGGGAGAGGGAAAGGCAAGCAAGCAUGCAGGCUCUGAGGCAGGAGUGUCCGUGCCCCCGGGCAGUGAGAGGCUGUGUGCCUGCAGAAGGAAAAGAGGCUGGGGAAGAGCAGGGGUCACCUGGCACAUAGCCUCCCAAGCCUGAGGAAGGGCUUUGGGUGUUAUUCAGAGACAGGUAAAGAGGGAGCGUCAGGCUCAUUCUGGCCGCUGGAGGGGCAUGAGACUACUUGUCUUCAGUUAUGUUUGCAAAGUUUGGCAUGGAGCAUACAUGAUUCAACUGGAGGGACGGCCAGUGCCCCCCAAAACUGGAGGCCCUGAGAGAGCCAACAAGGCUGAGUGUGACCUCUCCCUGCCGUCAGUCCUGGACUGAAGGGAGAGGAAGGAAACAAACACACAGUAAACUCCCUUCCCCCAGGCGCUCACGCUGUAGUCAGGGAGACAAAGAAACAUGAGAACCUGUUUAACUCAAGAUGGGGGAACUGUCAGGAGAGGUAUAGACUUGAGGGCUGAAGACUGCCCGUGUGGGGUGGGUUGGCAAGUGAAGCUUCUGGAAGAGGCUCAUACUGAAACAGGUUCUUAAUUCUCUGAACGUCAGCUCACAUUGCGGGUGGAGGGGGCAGCCGGCCCGAGGGAAUGAUUUCCCAUGGACAUUCUCGCUUCUGGAGACACGUUCAAGACAGACAGACUACUGUCAUCAUCUCCAGAUACUUCCCUGGCCUCUGCCUCACUCCAUUCUUCAAACCUGAUGCCAGGAUGUUCUUUCUAAAAUGGAUCUCAAAGCAAGCCGCUUCCCUGCUCAGAAGCCUUCCAUUGGUCCAGAGGAUGAAAUUCAAGCACCUUCGCAUGGCAUUUGAGACCUUUCUGCACGCGGGGACCCGACUCACUCAUGAGCAAGUGGGCUCCUCGCAACAGGGAUCCUCGGUAAGCCAGAGACACCACCCUUUGGAGGUUCUGGGGGACGGUGAAUAGCUUGAAAAAGCCCCUAGAUGAUUUGGUCACACCUUCCUCCCCCACCUGUUGAGAACCACUGCAGCUGCUUGGGAUUCAUUCCCAUGUCUUCUUGGGUCUCCUGAGAGCAAGAGCCUUGCUCUUGCCCUGAGGUUGCCUAGGAUGCUCUUCUUGGCCUGGAAAACUCCUAGUUACCCUUUAAACCCCAGAUUAAAUGCCCCUUGUCCAUGAAGCCUUCCUUGGAGUUAAUUUCUCUACCCCGUGUCUUCCUGUGUGCACUAUUAUCACCACUGACACUUAUUUAGGUGCCCACUAUGUGCUAGGCAUGAUUAUGAG